Molecule: ribosomal RNA, 460 nt
Filed under: uncultured bacterium
Lineage: Bacteria
Description: partial 16S ribosomal RNA
Rfam family: Bacterial small subunit ribosomal RNA
Source: RNAcentral
CCUACGGGAGGCAGCAGUGAGGAAUAUUGGUCAAUGGACGGAAGCCUGAACCAGCCACGCCGCGUGCAGGAAGACGGCUCUAUGAGUUGUAAACUGCUUUUGUACAAGGGUAAACCUGAAUACGUGUAUUCAGCUGAAAGUACUGUACGAAUAAGGAUCGGAUAACUCCGUGCCAGCAGCCGCGGUAAUACGGAGGAUCCAAGCGUUAUCCGGAUUUAUUGGGUUUAAAGGGUGCGUAGGCGGGUUGUUAAGUUAGAGGUGAACUGCCCGAGCUUAACUCGCGAACUGCCUCGGAUACUGUUGAUCUAGAGAGUAGAUGCGGUAGGCGGAAUGUAUGGUGUAGCGGUGAAAUGCUUAGAGAUCAUGCAGAACACCGAUGGCGAAGGCAGCUUACCAAUCUAUAUCUGACGUUGAGGCACGAAAGCGUGGGGAGCAAACAGGAUUAGAUACCCUUGUAGUC